Molecule: transfer RNA, 73 nt
Filed under: Myotis lucifugus (little brown bat)
Lineage: Eukaryota; Metazoa; Chordata; Mammalia; Chiroptera; Vespertilionidae
Rfam family: tRNA
About the family: Transfer RNA (tRNA) molecules are approximately 80 nucleotides in length. Their secondary structure includes four short double-helical elements and three loops (D, anti-codon, and T loops). Further hydrogen bonds mediate the characteristic L-shaped molecular structure. tRNAs have two regions of fundamental functional importance: the anti-codon, which is responsible for specific mRNA codon recognition, and the 3' end, to which the tRNAs corresponding amino acid is attached (by aminoacyl-tRNA synthetases). tRNAs cope with the degeneracy of the genetic code in two manners: having more than one tRNA (with a specific anti-codon) for a particular amino acid; and 'wobble' base-pairing, i.e. permitting non-standard base-pairing at the 3rd anti-codon position.
Source: Rfam by way of RNAcentral
GCCAGUGUGGCUCAGUGGACAGAGCGUUAGCCUGUGGACUGAAGGGUCCCAGGUUCGAUCCCGGUCAAGGGCA